UAUGGCUCAGGAUGAACGCUAGCGGGAGGCCUACCAUGCAAGCCGAGCGGUAGAGAUUCUUCGGAAUCUUGAGAGCGGCGUACGGGUGCGGAACACGUGUGCAACAUGCCUUUAUCAGGGGGACAGCCUUUCGAAAGGAAGAUUAAUACCCCAUAACAUUUUGAAUGGCAUCAUUUAAAAUUGAAAACUCCGGUGGAUAGAGAUGGGCACGCGCAAGAUUAGAUAGUUGGUGAGGUAACGGCUCACCAAGUCUGCGAUCUUUAGGGGGCCUGAGAGGGUGAUCCCCCACACUGGUACUGAGACACGGACCAGACUCCUACGGGAGGCAGUAGUGAGGAAUAUUGGACAAUGGGUGCGAGCCUGAUCCAGCCAUCCCGCGUGAAGGACGACGGCCCUAUGGGUUGUAAACUUCUUUUGUAUAGGGAUAAACCUAGAUACGUGUAUCUAGCUGAAGGUACUAUACGAAUAAGCACCGGCUAACUCCGUGCCAGCAGCCGCGGUAAUACGGAGGGUGCAAGCGUUAUCCGGAUUUAUUGGGUUUAAAGGGUCCGUAGGCGGAUCUGUAAGUCAGUGGUGAAAUCUCACAGCUUAACUGUGAAACUGCCAUUGAUACUGCAGGUCUUGAGUGUUGUUGAAGUAGCUGGAAUAAGUAGUGUAGCGGUGAAAUGCAUAGAUAUUACUUAGAACCACCAAUUGCGAAGGCCAGGUUACUAAGCAACAACCUG
RNAcentral lists this ribosomal RNA (725 nucleotides) under Chryseobacterium sp. CI45. RNAcentral's name for it is "bacterial SSU rRNA". It matches the Rfam family "Bacterial small subunit ribosomal RNA", at positions 18 to 742 of the family's 1533-position model. Lineage: Bacteria; Pseudomonadati; Bacteroidota; Flavobacteriia; Flavobacteriales; Weeksellaceae. The record is from RNAcentral.